CUGUCCUUGAACCAGAGAGCAGACAGUCUCCCGGAGGCAGCUGUGUGGUGUGUGCUCUGAGCCAGGACCUUCUGAGGCACCCAUGCUACAGCAGUUCCCAGAGGCUUAAGGACAGGCUGUGGGACAUGUGGCCGUCUGGGCUGGUGGAAACUUUAACGGUCGCCUCCCCGAGGAUGCCUUCCCUGCGCUCCGUCUCUGUCCUGCCAAUCCCGUCCUGGAAUUGUCUUCUCCAUCUGGUGUUUUUGUGCUCACGAGAAUGCAAGCACCUCGAGAACAGGGACUGUCUCUUCUUUCUGCUGUGCGAUUAUCAACACCAGUGAUAGCAGGCAUUCAGUAAACAUAUUUUAUUAUGUUAGGUGUGUGUUUCUGGGACACCUGGGUGGCUCAGUCGGUAAAGCAUCCGACUCCU
Long non-coding RNA from Mustela erminea (ermine), 409 nucleotides. RefSeq lists it as uncharacterized. NCBI's taxonomy places the organism in Eukaryota, Metazoa, Chordata, Mammalia, Carnivora, Mustelidae. The record is from RefSeq and is a predicted model, not a curated record. The transcript has 3 exons.